RNAcentral lists this ribosomal RNA (440 nucleotides) under uncultured bacterium. RNAcentral's name for it is "partial 16S ribosomal RNA". It matches the Rfam family "Bacterial small subunit ribosomal RNA", at positions 339 to 795 of the family's 1533-position model. The record is from RNAcentral.
CUACGGGAGGCUGCAGUGGGGAAUAUUGGGCAAUGGGCGCAAGCCUGACCCAGCAACGCCGCGUGAGGGAAGAAGGUUUUCGGAUUGUAAACCUCUGUCCUUGGGGACGAAGAAGUGACGGUACCCAAGGAGGAAGCUCCGGCUAACUACGUGCCAGCAGCCGCGGUAAUACGUAGGGAGCAAGCGUUGUCCGGAAUUACUGGGCGUAAAGGGUGCGUAGGCGGCAUAUUAAGUCAGGUGUGAAAUACUCGGGCCCAACCCGGGGGCUGCAUUUGAAACUGAUAUGCUUGAGUGUGAGAGAAGAAAGUGGAAUUCCUAGUGUAGCGGUGGAAUGCGUAGAUAUUAGGAGGAACACCAGUGGCGAAGGCGACUUUCUGGCUCAUAACUGACGCUGAGGCACGAAAGCGUGGGGAGCAAACAGGAUUAGAUACCGCGUAGUC